UGGGGAAUUUUCCGCAAUGGGCGAAAGCCUGACGGAGCAAUACCGCGUGAGGGAAGACGGCUUUUGGGUUGUAAACCUCUUUUCUCUGGGAAGAAGAUCUGACGGUACCAGAGGAAUCAGCAUCGGCUAACUCCGUGCCAGCAGCCGCGGUAAUACGGAGGAUGCAAGCGUUAUCCGGAAUUAUUGGGCGUAAAGGGUCCGCAGGUGGUUUAUCAAGUCUGUUGUCAAAGCGUGGAGCUUAACUCCAUAUCGGUAAUGGAAACUGAGUAACUAGAGUACAGUAGGGGUUGCGGGAAUUCCAGUGUAGCGGUGAAAUGCGUAGAUAUUGGGAAGAACACCAGCGGCGAAAGCGCGCAACUGGGCUGAGACUGACACUGAGGGACGAAAGCUAGGGGAGCGAAAGGGAUUAGAUACCCCUGUAGUCCUAG
This 428-nucleotide ribosomal RNA is filed under the name uncultured bacterium. RNAcentral describes it as "bacterial SSU rRNA". It matches the Rfam family "Bacterial small subunit ribosomal RNA", at positions 355 to 799 of the family's 1533-position model. The record is from RNAcentral.